This 497-nucleotide ribosomal RNA is filed under the name uncultured bacterium. Its description in RNAcentral is "partial 16S ribosomal RNA". It matches the Rfam family "Bacterial small subunit ribosomal RNA", at positions 28 to 507 of the family's 1533-position model. The record is from RNAcentral.
GAUGAACGCUGGCGGCGUGCCUAAUACAUGCCAGUCGAGCGAACAGACGAGGAGCUUGCUCCUCUGACGUUAGCGGCGGACGGGUGAGUAACACGUGGAUAACCUACCUAUAAGACUGGGAUAACUUCGGGAAACCGGAGCUAAUACCGGAUAAUAUAUUGAACCGCAUGGUUCAAUAGUGAAAGACGGUUUUGCUGUCACUUAUAGAUGGAUCCGCGCCGCAUUAGCUAGUUGGUAAGGUAACGGCUUACCAAGGCAACGAUGCGUAGCCGACCUGAGAGGGUGAUCGGCCACACUGGAACUGAGACACGGUCCAGACUCCUACGGGAGGCAGCAGUAGGGAAUCUUCCGCAAUGGGCGAAAGCCUGACGGAGCAACGCCGCGUGAGUGAUGAAGGUCUUCGGAUCGUAAAACUCUGUUAUUAGGGAAGAACAAAUGUGUAAGUAACUAUGCACGUCUUGACGGUACCUAAUCAGAAGGCCACGGCCAACUACGUG